This 63-nucleotide transfer RNA is filed under the name Rattus norvegicus (Norway rat). It matches the Rfam family "tRNA". From Rfam's summary of the family: Transfer RNA (tRNA) molecules are approximately 80 nucleotides in length. Their secondary structure includes four short double-helical elements and three loops (D, anti-codon, and T loops). Further hydrogen bonds mediate the characteristic L-shaped molecular structure. tRNAs have two regions of fundamental functional importance: the anti-codon, which is responsible for specific mRNA codon recognition, and the 3' end, to which the tRNAs corresponding amino acid is attached (by aminoacyl-tRNA synthetases). tRNAs cope with the degeneracy of the genetic code in two manners: having more than one tRNA (with a specific anti-codon) for a particular amino acid; and 'wobble' base-pairing, i.e. permitting non-standard base-pairing at the 3rd anti-codon position. The record is from Rfam by way of RNAcentral. Lineage: Eukaryota; Metazoa; Chordata; Mammalia; Rodentia; Muridae. RNAcentral also lists the same sequence under 1 other name.
GGGGAUUUAGCUCAGUGGUAGAGCACUUGCCUAGCAAGCACAAGGCCCUGGAUUCAGUCCUCA